ACGCUCGACACCUACGGGAGGCAGCAGUGGGGAAUAUUGCACAAUGGGGGAAACCCUGAUGCAGCGACGCCGCGUGAAGGAAGAAGUAUCUCGGUAUGUAAACUUCUAUCAGCAGGGAAGAAAGUGACGGUACCUGACUAAGAAGCCCCGGCUAACUACGUGCCACAGCCGCGGUAAUCUGAGCGGGCCGUGGCGAAGGC
RNAcentral lists this ribosomal RNA (200 nucleotides) under uncultured bacterium. RNAcentral's name for it is "partial 16S ribosomal RNA". It matches the Rfam family "Bacterial small subunit ribosomal RNA", at positions 328 to 535 of the family's 1533-position model. The record is from RNAcentral.